Molecule: long non-coding RNA, 228 nt
Filed under: Gossypium barbadense (sea-island cotton)
Lineage: Eukaryota; Viridiplantae; Streptophyta; Magnoliopsida; Malvales; Malvaceae
Description: long non-coding RNA (GBAR_LNC000572)
Source: RNAcentral
CCCACCACCACCAGCAUUAGUGCUGUCUAGUUGUGUUCAAUGUUUGAGCCUCGUAGCUCGAUGCCUUAUUAAGGAUGUGGAAAAGAGUUGGAAAUGAAGAGACUAAUAAAAUAGAGAAUAGGGGUUCUUGCAGGUAUCCAUCAAUCCCGAAACGACAGCCCCCGCAAGAGAAUAGAAUAAGCAGCUAUUUCAUCUUCUUUUUGUGUGAUUUGAUUCUCCUGAUCCAGG